GACGAACGCUGGCGGCGUGCUUAACACAUGCAAGUCGAACGGAAAGGCCCUGCUUUUGUGGGGUGCUCGAGUGGCGAACGGGUGAGUAACACGUGAGUAACCUGCCCUUGACUUUGUGAUAACUUCAGGAAACUGGGGCUAAUACCGGAUAGGAUCUCCUGCUGCAUGUUGGGGGUUGGAAAGUUUCGGCGGUUGGGGAUCGACUCGCGGCUUAUCAGCUUGUUGGUGGGGUAGUGGCUUACCAAGGCUUUGACGGGUAGCCGGCCUGAGAGGGUGACCGGCCACAAUGGGACUGAGAUACGGCCCAGACUCCUACGGGAGGCAGCAGUGGGAAAUAUUGCAGAAUGGGCGGAAGCCUGAUGCAGCAACGCCGCGUGCGGGAUGACGGGCUUCGGGUUGUAAACCGCUUUCGACUGUGACGAAGCGUGAGUGACGGUAAUGGGUAAAGAAGCACCGGCUAACUACGUG
Molecule: ribosomal RNA, 468 nt
Filed under: uncultured bacterium
Lineage: Bacteria
Description: partial 16S ribosomal RNA
Rfam family: Bacterial small subunit ribosomal RNA
Source: RNAcentral